AUUAUUUUAAGAUUAUUUUUUAUUGUUGAAAAAAUUAAAAAUAAAUUGUUUUUAACAAAAAUUAAAAUUUAUAAUAUUUCAUUUUUUGGUUUUUUGUUUUAAAUUAAAAUAAUAAAUAUGGGGGAAAAAAAAAUUUUGUUAUAAAUUAUAUUAGUUUAUUUUAAUUAAAAAUAUUUUUUAUUAAAUUUGUUUUUUUUAUUUUUUUAUAAAAAAUAUUAAUUUAAUUAUUAUUAUUGAGUUUAAUUUAGUUAUUUUUAAAAAAAUUUUGUAUAAAAUAAAUUUGAUAAUAAAUGUUUUUUAAAUUCUUUGGGGGU
This 314-nucleotide ribosomal RNA is filed under the name Meloidogyne enterolobii. Its description in RNAcentral is "partial 16S ribosomal RNA". Lineage: Eukaryota; Metazoa; Nematoda; Chromadorea; Rhabditida; Meloidogynidae. The record is from RNAcentral.